Molecule: ribosomal RNA, 1212 nt
Filed under: Atyopsis moluccensis
Lineage: Eukaryota; Metazoa; Arthropoda; Malacostraca; Decapoda; Atyidae
Description: 16S ribosomal RNA
Rfam family: Archaeal large subunit ribosomal RNA (bases 518-1212)
Source: RNAcentral
UAGUUUAUUUGGUACUGUAAAGGAUAGGUUUUAAAUUAGAAAAAAGAAGAGUUUAAUUUUUGUACCUUUUGUAUCAGGGGCAAUUAAAAUAUGUGUUUUAUGAAAUUUUAUCUCGAAAGGGUAGGAGUUAGUCUUUUGUUGUCAUUUAUGUUGAAAAAUGAAAUUACGAACAAAAGAUUAGUGGUGAAACGCCAGUCGACUUUCAUAUAUCUAGUUCUUUCCGAAAAAAAUUUAAUUUAACUUCUCGGAUGAAUAUUUUGGGAAUUUUAUUUUAAGAGGGAUGAGCUUCUUAAAAUAAAUGGCAUGGUGGGAGAAUUGUAAUUAUCUUUUAUUUAGGCUUAAGAUCAGCCACAUUAGUAUAUCGUUUUAGAUAAUAGGGUUUAAAAGCGAAAUUUUUAUUCUGCUUGCGUUUUGUUAUAGGGAAGAAUCUAUAAAAAUUUUUUGUAUGGAUUUAAAGUGAUUGUAUUAGUAUAUAUUGGGUGUGGAUUUUGACAAGUUGAAAUUAGUUUAUAUUUGUCAAUGUUUUGUUAUUGUAUGUUUAAGGAACUCGGCAAAAUUUACCUCUGCCUGUUUAUCAAAAACAUGUCUGCAUGGAAAGUGGUGUGCAGUCUAGCCUGCCCCCUGAUUUUUAAAGGGCCGCGGUAUCUCAACCGUGCUAAGGUAGCAUAAUCAAUAGUCUUUUAAUUGAGGUCUAGUAUGAACGGCUGGACAGGAGGUAAGCUGUCUUAAUCAUAACUGUUGAAUUUUACUUUUAAGUGAAAAGGCUUAAAUUUUAUGAGGGGACGAUAAGACCCUAUAAAGCUUUACAUACACGUUCUUAAUUUUAGAAAUUUAGGGUGCUUCUGUUUGAUUAGUGUGUAUGUUUCGUUGGGGCGACGGGAAUAUAAAAUUGUAACUGUUUUCGUUAUAGAAAUAGAUGUUUUUAGAGAAUUUGAUCCUUUUUAGAGAUUAUGAGAUUAAAGUUACUUUAGGGAUAACAGCGUAAUUUUCCUUGAGAGUUCUUAUCGACAGGAGUAGUUGCGACCUCGAUGUUGAAUUAAGGUGUCGCCAAGAUGCAGCAGUUUUGGGAGUAGGUCUGUUCGACCUUUGAAGCCUUACAUGAUUUGAGUUCAGACCGGCGUGAGCCAGGUUAGUUUCUAUCUUUCAUUUUUUUAAAGGUCGCUCUAGUACGAAAGGAGAAAGUGGCCAGAAUAUUUCUUUGAAAUAGAUGAA